RNAcentral lists this ribosomal RNA (497 nucleotides) under uncultured bacterium. RNAcentral describes it as "partial 16S ribosomal RNA". It matches the Rfam family "Bacterial small subunit ribosomal RNA", at positions 28 to 507 of the family's 1533-position model. The record is from RNAcentral.
GAUGAACGCUGGCGGCGUGCCUAAUACAUGCAAGUCGAGCGAACAGACGAGGCGCUUGCUCCUUCGACGUUAGCGGCGGACGGGUGAGUAACACGUAUGUACUCUACCUAUAAGACUGGGAUAACUUCGGGAAACCGGAGCUAAUCCCGGAUAAUAUUUCGAACCGCAUGGUUCGAUAGUGAAAGAUGGCUUUGCUAUCACUUAUAGAUGGACCUGCGCCGUAUUGGCUAGUUGGUAAGGUAACGGCUUACCAAGGCAACGAUACGUAGCCGACCUGAGAGAGGGGUAGGCCACACGGGAAGUGGGACACGCACCAGACGCCUACGGGAGGGAGCAGUAGGGAAUCUGCCGCAAUAGGCGAAAGCAUGACGGAGCAGGCCGGAGUGAGAGAUGACGAUCUUCGGAGCGUAAAGAUCUGUUAUUAGGGAUGAACAAACGUGUAAGUAAAUGUGCACGGAGUGACGGUACCUAAUCAGAAAGCCACGGCUAACUACGUG